AUGUGGUUUAAUUCGAGGCUACACGAGAACCUUACCAGGGUUUGACAUGCAAGUGGUAGGAAUCCGAAAGGUGACCGACCCUUCGGGGAGCUUGCACAGGUGCUGCAUGGCUGUCGUCAGCUCGUGUCGUGAGAUGUUCGGUUAAGUCCGCUAACGAGCGCAACCCUCGUCGUGUGUUAUACGUGUCACACGAUACUGCCGGUAUCAAGCCGGAGGAAGGUGGGGAUGAUGUCAAGUCAGCAUGGCCUUUAUAUCCUGGGCUACACACACGCUACAAUGGCAGAUACAAUAGGUUGCGAAACCGCGAGGUGGAGCCAAUCCUCAAAGUCUGUCUCAGUUCAGAUUGUAGGCUGCAACUCGCCUGCAUGAAGUUGGAGUUGCUAGUAAACGCAGGUCAGCUAUACUGCGUUGAAUACGUUCCCGGGGUUU
RNAcentral lists this ribosomal RNA (429 nucleotides) under uncultured Leptolinea sp. RNAcentral's name for it is "bacterial SSU rRNA". It matches the Rfam family "Bacterial small subunit ribosomal RNA", at positions 939 to 1382 of the family's 1533-position model. The record is from RNAcentral. Lineage: Bacteria; Bacillati; Chloroflexota; Anaerolineae; Anaerolineales; Anaerolineaceae.